Molecule: ribosomal RNA, 655 nt
Filed under: Metachromadora xiamenensis
Lineage: Eukaryota; Metazoa; Nematoda; Chromadorea; Desmodorida; Desmodoridae
Description: Metachromadora sp. h CW-2021 partial large subunit ribosomal RNA
Rfam family: Eukaryotic large subunit ribosomal RNA
Source: RNAcentral
GUGGACCUGACGUACAGUCGGCAGUAUUCAGCCUGCUGAGCUACCUCACCCCGCUAUCACAUGCCUCAGUGAUUUGCGGGUGUUGGUGUGGGCAGUGGGUGCAUUUGCUGCCGAUGAGUGCUAGAACCUGUGCUGGUGCUGGAUAUGCGGUUGCGAGUGCCGGCCACUUCUGUGGUGUCCCAUCGCUUCCCUAAACCGGGUCACCUGUACAGGAAUCAUUUUGACACCCGCCUCUACUUGUCAGCGUGGCAAACCUUGCCAAUUGACCUGCGUUUUCAUGCUUGCAUGACUGCGCGAAGCUUGGUUUGGCCUGUAGCGCGCGCGAGUUGGUGUCUGAUUCUGGCGUUUUUGUCAGUCACCCACCCGACCCGUCUUGAAACACGGACCAAGGAGUCUAACAUGUGCGCAAGUCACUGGGUGGCAAAACCCAAAGGCUCAAUGAGAGUGAAGGUCAGUUUGGCUGACUGUCGUGGGAACUUCUGGCUUGCCAGUGGUGCACCAUGGUCCCAUCCAUGCUGCAUCGUCAGCGGGGUGGAGAUUGAGCGUACACGUUGGGACCCGAAAGAUGGUGAACUAUGCCUGAGCAGGAUGAAGCCAGAGGAAACUCUGGUGGAGGUCCGUAGCGAUUCUGACGUGCAAAUCGAUCGUCGGACUU